GAGUUUGAUCAUGGCUCAGAACGAACGCUGGCGGCGCGCCUAAUACAUGCAAGUCGAGCGAGAAGGUGUAGCAAUACACUUGUAAAGCGGCGAACGGGUGAGGAAUACAUGGGUAAUCUACCAUCGAGUGGGGAAUAACCAACCGAAAGGUUGGCUAAUACCGCGUACGCUUCUGAGCCUUCGGGUUCGGAAGGAAAGCCGUACUGUGAGUGCGGCGCUCUUUGAUGAGCUCAUGUCCUAUCAGCUUGUUGGUAGGGUAACGGCCUACCAAGGCUUUGACGGGUAGCUGGUCUGAGAGGACGAUCAGCCACACUGGCACUGCGACACGGGCCAGACUCCUACGGGAGGCAGCAGUAAGGAAUAUUGCGCAAUGGGCGAAAGCCUGACGCAGCGACGCCGCGUGGGGGAUGAAGGUCUUCGGAUUGUAAACCCCUUUCGGGAGGGAAGAUGGAGCGAGCAAUCGUUCGGACGGUACCUCCAGAAGCAGCCACGGCCAACUUCGUGCCAGCAGCCGCGGUAAUACGAAGGUGGCAAGCGUUGUUCGGAUUCACUGGGCGUACAGGGUGUGUAGGCGGUUUGGUAAGCCUUCUGUUAAAGCUUCGGGCCCGACCCGGAAAGCGCAGAGGGUACUGCCAGGCUAGAGGGUGGGAGAGGAGCGCGGAAUUCCCGGUGUAGCGGUGAAAUGCGUAGAGAUCGGGAAGAAGGCC
This 707-nucleotide ribosomal RNA is filed under the name uncultured Nitrospira sp. Its description in RNAcentral is "bacterial SSU rRNA". It matches the Rfam family "Bacterial small subunit ribosomal RNA", at positions 9 to 710 of the family's 1533-position model. The record is from RNAcentral. Lineage: Bacteria; Pseudomonadati; Nitrospirota; Nitrospiria; Nitrospirales; Nitrospiraceae.